This is a long non-coding RNA of Hibiscus syriacus, 154 nucleotides long. RefSeq lists it as uncharacterized. The record is from RefSeq and is a predicted model, not a curated record. The transcript is spliced from 3 exons. NCBI's taxonomy places the organism in Eukaryota, Viridiplantae, Streptophyta, Magnoliopsida, Malvales, Malvaceae.
AAGUUUAAAGAUGAAGUUCCAAAUAUAUUUACCUGCUACACUGCUGGCAAAACCGUUGUUCUUGACCCCUAAUUGUAACUUUUGGGGUCUUCGAGUGAACUUCGCAUACUUUAUGGCGUCGAUGGUAGUCCCUGCAUUUGCUGAGGUCUGCAGU